AAGUCGUAACAAGGUUUCCGUAGGUGAACCUGCGGAAGGAUCAUCAUCGAAUUCAUAUCCCCCUCCUCAACCGGAGGGGGACCCAUGAUAAACCCUUCUGUGCACCGUAAACCGUUCACUUUGGCAGGCUUUGGUGGUGAGCGUGAGCUCGCCUCCAACCUCGCGUUCCCUCCCUAGGGGUGUUACGCGUGGCGGCCUGCCGGAGUCCCAUUAAAAAACUCGUUUUUGAACACGUCUGAAAAUUUCCUUUGAGAAAUCAAAGAACCGAAAACAACUUUCAACAACGGAUCUCUUGGCUCUC
Molecule: unclassified non-coding RNA, 301 nt
Filed under: fungal sp.
Lineage: Eukaryota; Fungi
Description: partial internal transcribed spacer region
Rfam family: Eukaryotic small subunit ribosomal RNA (bases 1-46)
Source: RNAcentral